RNAcentral lists this small RNA (62 nucleotides) under Vibrio cholerae O1 biovar El Tor str. N16961. The record is from RNAcentral. Lineage: Bacteria; Pseudomonadati; Pseudomonadota; Gammaproteobacteria; Vibrionales; Vibrionaceae.
AAAAGGCGAUCUGCUCAUUAGUCGCGGGGCGAUACCAAACCCCCGCUAACACUUCGCCUAAG